RNAcentral lists this transfer RNA (19 nucleotides) under Allobates femoralis (brilliant-thighed poison frog). RNAcentral describes it as "partial tRNA-Phe". Lineage: Eukaryota; Metazoa; Chordata; Amphibia; Anura; Aromobatidae. The record is from RNAcentral.
CUAAAGUUCUCCAAACACA